GAUGAACGCUGGCGGCGUGCCUAAUACAUGCAAGUCGAGCGAACAGAUGAGGAGCUUGCUCCUCAGACGUUAGCGGCGGACGGGUGAGGAACACGUGGAUAACCUACCUAUAAGAUUGGGAUAACUUCGGGAAACCGGAGCUAAUACCGGAUAAUCUAUUGAACCGCAUGGUUCAAUAGUGAAAGACGGUUUUGCUGUCACUUAUAGAUGGAUCCGCUCCGCAUUAGCUAGUUGGUAAGGUAACGGCUUACCAAGGCGACGAUGCGUAACCGACCUGGGAGGGAGAUCGGCCACACCGGAACGGAGGCACGGUCCAGACUCCUACGGGAGGCAGCAGGAGGGAAUCUUCCGCAAUGGGCGAAAGCCUGACGGCGGACCGCCGCGGGGGUGAUGGAGGUCUUCCGAUCGUAAAACUCUGUUAUUAGGGAAAAACAAAUGUGUAAGUAACUAUGCACGGCUUGACGGUACCUAAUAAGAAGGCCACGGCUAACUACGUU
This 497-nucleotide ribosomal RNA is filed under the name uncultured bacterium. RNAcentral describes it as "partial 16S ribosomal RNA". It matches the Rfam family "Bacterial small subunit ribosomal RNA", at positions 28 to 507 of the family's 1533-position model. The record is from RNAcentral.